This 88-nucleotide transfer RNA is filed under the name Candidatus Omnitrophota bacterium. RNAcentral describes it as "tRNA-Arg". It matches the Rfam family "tRNA". Rfam says of the family: Transfer RNA (tRNA) molecules are approximately 80 nucleotides in length. Their secondary structure includes four short double-helical elements and three loops (D, anti-codon, and T loops). Lineage: Bacteria; Pseudomonadati; Candidatus Omnitrophota. The record is from RNAcentral.
GGGGGCGUGGCGAAACUGGCAAACGCGCUGGAUUCCUAAUCCAGUAUCUCCUAGCCGGGAUUUGUGAGUUCGAGUCUCACCGUCCCCA